RNAcentral lists this non-coding RNA (30 nucleotides) under Homo sapiens (human). The record is from RNAcentral. Lineage: Eukaryota; Metazoa; Chordata; Mammalia; Primates; Hominidae.
UAGAAUGCACAAAGCAAAGAACCAGCUAGA